CUUGAGCCGUGGCUUUCGGAGCUAACGCGUUAAGUAGACCGCCUGGGGAGUACGGUCGCAAGAUUAAAACUCAAAUGAAUUGACGGGGGCCCGCACAAGCGGUGGAGCAUGUGGUUUAAUUCGAUGCAACGCGAAGAACCUUACCUACUCUUGACAUCCAGAGAAGCCAGCGGAGACGCAGGUGUGCCUUCGGGAGCUCUGAGACAGGUGCUGCAUGGCUGUCGUCAGCUCGUGUCGUGAGAUGUUGGGUUA
This 252-nucleotide ribosomal RNA is filed under the name Vibrio sp. s12a1. RNAcentral describes it as "partial 16S ribosomal RNA". It matches the Rfam family "Bacterial small subunit ribosomal RNA", at positions 831 to 1082 of the family's 1533-position model. Lineage: Bacteria; Pseudomonadati; Pseudomonadota; Gammaproteobacteria; Vibrionales; Vibrionaceae. The record is from RNAcentral.